GAUAACCUCGGGAAACUGGGUAUAAUACCCGAUAGGUCUCGAUUGCUGGAAUGCAUCGAGAUUUAAAGCUCCGGCGCCUAAGGAUGGGUCUGCGGCCUAUCAGGUAGUAGUGGGUGUAGCGUACCUACUAGCCUACAACGGGUACGGGUUGUGAGAGCAAGAGCCCGGAGAUGGAUUCUGAGACACGAAUCCAGGCCCUACGGGGUGCAGCAGGCGCGAAAACUUUACAAUGCUGGCAACAGCGAUAAGGGAACCUCGAGUGCCAGGUUACAAAUCUGGCUGUCGAGAUGCCUAAAAAGCAUUUCAUAGCAAGGGCCGGGCAAGACCGGUGGCAGCCGCCGCGGUAACACCGGCGGCUCGAGUGGUAACCGUUAUUAUUGGGUCUAAAGGGUCUGUAGCCGGCCGGAUAAGUCUCUUGAGAAAUCUGGCAGCUUAACUGUCAGGCUUUCAGGAGAUACUGUCUGGCUCGAGGCCGGGAGAGGUGAGAGGUACUUCAGGGGUAGGGGUGAAAUCUUGUAAUCCUUGAAGGACCACCAGUGGCGAAGGCGUCUCACCAGAACGGACCUGACGGCAAGGGACGAAAGCUAGGGGCACGAACCGGAUUAGAUACCCGGGUAGUCCUAGCCGUAAACGAUACUCGCUAGGUGUCGGCCACGGUGCGACCGUUGUCGGUGCCGUAGGGAAGCCGUGUAGCGAGCCACCUGGGGAAGUACGGCCGCAAGGCUGAAACUUAAAAGGAAUUUGGCGGGGGAGCACCACAACGGGUGGGAGCUUUGCGGUUUAAAUUGGAAUUCAAACGCCGGAAAUCUUCACCGGGACCGACAGCAAUAUGAAAGGCCGGCUGGAAGGACUUUGCCUGGAUUAGCUGAAAAGGUGGUGCAU
Molecule: ribosomal RNA, 882 nt
Filed under: uncultured archaeon
Lineage: Archaea
Description: bacterial SSU rRNA
Rfam family: Archaeal small subunit ribosomal RNA
Source: RNAcentral